Molecule: ribosomal RNA, 485 nt
Filed under: uncultured bacterium
Lineage: Bacteria
Description: bacterial SSU rRNA
Rfam family: Bacterial small subunit ribosomal RNA
Source: RNAcentral
AACGAACGCUGGCGGCAUGCCUAACACAUGCAAGUCGAACGAGACCUUCGGGUCUAGUGGCGCACGGGUGCGUAACGCGUGGGAACCUGCCUUUAGGUUCGGAAUAACUCAGAGAAAUUUGAGCUAAUACCGGAUAAUGUCUUCGGACCAAAGAUUUAUCGCCUUUAGAUGGGCCCGCGUUGGAUUAGCUAGUUGGUGGGGUAAAGGCCUACCAAGGCGACGAUCCAUAGCUGGUCUGAGAGGACGACCAGCCACACUGGAACUGAGACACGGUCCAGACUCCUACGGGAGGCAGCAGUGGGGAAUUUUGGACAAUGGGCGAAAGUCUGAUCCAGCCAUGCCGCGUGUGUGAAGAAGGUCUUCGGAUUGUAAAGCACUUUAAGUUGGGAGGAAGGGCAGUAAGUUAAUACCUUGCUGUUUUGACGUUACCAACAGAAUAAGCACCGGCUAACUUCGUGCCAGCAGCCGCGGUAAAGUGACUACUG